Molecule: ribosomal RNA, 254 nt
Filed under: uncultured bacterium
Lineage: Bacteria
Description: partial 16S ribosomal RNA
Rfam family: Bacterial small subunit ribosomal RNA
Source: RNAcentral
UACAGAGGGUGCGAGCGUUAAUCGGAAUUACUGGGCGUAAAGCGCGCGUAGGCGGCUUUGCAAGUCGGAUGUGAAAUCUCCAGGCUCAACCUGGAGGGGUCAUUCGAUACUGCCGUGACUAGAGUUCGGUAGGGGAGUGUGGAAUUCCAGGUGUAGUGGUGAAAUACGUAGAUAUCUGGAGGAACACCGGUGGCGAAGGCGGCGACCUGGUCCUAUACUGACACUCAUACACGAAAGCGUGGGGAUCAAACAGG